AAGUAAAGCAAUAGCUGAUUGCAUUUAAUUAAAUGUAGUUACUACUUGGUAGUUUAAAUUUCUGGGUGGNAAUUNAUGAUAAUGACGUUAUCUAUCUAUUAGUCUUGACCNAAAUUACGUGCCAGCAGUCGCGGUAAUACGUAGAAGACAAGUGUUAUUCAUCUUUAUUAGGUUUAAAGAGUACCAAGACGGUUAAUAAAGCCCAAAAUAAAUACAGGGGACACAUUAACUAGAGUUAUAUGAAAAGAAGCUCUAAGGUACUGUUGAGUGAAGAGAUGAAAUUUUAUGAUACCAGAUAAUUGGCACAGAUUAAUGCGAAGGCAUCUUCUUAUGUAAUAACUGACGUUGUAGGACGAAGGCUUAGGGAGUGAACAGGAUUAGGUACCCUAGUAAUCUUGGCAGAAAAUGAUGAAUGUCAUAGGUUCAAUGGACAGAUGGGUAUAGAUAAACUAUUAACAUAAAUGGGUAGUUCUUGCCCUGCCCUGUCCCUAUUGUGUCUAUAAAUGAAAGUGUMAGCAUUCCACCUCAAGAGUAAUUUGGCAACAUUGGAACUGAAAUCAUUAGACCGUUUCUGAAACCAGUAGUGAAGUAUGUUGUUUAAUUAGAUGAUACACAAGAACCUUACCACAAUUUGAAUAUAUAUAGAUUUAUAUAUAUAUAUAUAUAUAUAUAAAUAUAAUGUAUUUACAAGCGCUGCACGGCUGUCUACAGUUAAUGUCGUGAGAUUUUGGUUAGCUCCAUAAAAUUGACGUAAACCCUAAUUUUAUUUAUAAAUAUAAUUUACAUUGCUAUAUUUGAUGUUAAAGAGGGAAC
Molecule: ribosomal RNA, 813 nt
Filed under: Sticta sp.
Lineage: Eukaryota; Fungi; Ascomycota; Lecanoromycetes; Peltigerales; Lobariaceae
Description: SSU rRNA
Source: RNAcentral